CGUGUGUGUGUGUGUGUGUGUGUGCGUGCGUGCGUGCGUGCGUGUGCGUGCGUGGUUGUGUGGUAUUGCAGAAAUGGUGCACGACAUAGGAUCGAGGGUAAUUUGAUACACUGCAACAACAUAAAAAGUGCCACAAGAUUUUCCAUUUCAAAUAUUUGCAUGACUAGUUGUUGGACGCCAUUAAUCCUCUAGAAUCUCGUAUUCCAUGCUUUUAUUUUGUCAAAGUGGCAAAAGUUGUUUACUGUUUAUUGUUAUUUCUAGAAAAGGAUCAGAACCGAAAUGAUGGACACAAAGACAGACAUAAAUCUGCUGAGCAUGUUCAGUAGAAGAUUCCUGGCAAGAGUUGUUGACUUUGUCAUGGCUGGUGGACUAGUGAAGGCCAUUGUUUGCUUUGACUGUGUUUCCACUGCCUGUCAGCAGUGAUGCUGAAGUCUGGGCCGGGCAGCUUUCAUUGUUGCUGCCACUGAUAAUCUUAGCAGCCACAGCUUGGCAGUAGCGUUGCAUUCUGGAUCACUUUCAACUCCAGCAGUCACCGCAGUGAUUGUGACGCUGAGCAGGGACGCAGAGUUUUGUUGUAUGUGCAGAUGGCUGAGCAGAAUGCAGGCAGACUGAAAAUAUCUUACUCCACCAUGAGUCACAGAAUCCUAUGAAGAAUAGAUUGAUCGGCUGGUUAUUAGACUCUCUCCUCAUGCAGUGUUUGAAAGUAUAGUUGUUCUUGAUCAAAGUUAUGGUUGUAUUCAUUGAUGGACUAAACAACAACAAAGAUAGCAUAAACAACUACAUGAGUGUCUUGCUCCUAUGUAGGAGUGGGGGUGGGGCCUGUUGCAUGUAGAUCUAUUUUAAUUAUCCACCCAUAAAGUGAAAUGUUUCAAUUUGUUUAAAGUUUUCAUUAAUCUGUAAAUGUAAAUGAAAGUUCUGUAUACAGUCGUAACAGACUGGCCUUGCUGUCUUGGUUUGUAUCUGGCUGUAUGAACAUAUCACAUCCAACUCAUGGCUGAUACAGACUGACAAAAAUAUUGUUUCUAUUUUGAUCUGCCAUGUUUAUGAUAUCUCAAGUCUGGAUGCCUGCACCAUCAGUACACAACUCAAAAUGCUUUCACUGAGUGAAUUGUCAAAAAACAUGUCAAUAUUUUAUUUAUUUUCUUAGAGAUUUACUUGUUUAACCUUCCUUGAUUAAUUAUUCUCUCAUAACCAAUUUUCAAGACAAACACCAUGACCCUUUACCUGCAUCCAAACUUGUUUGUGUUUCAGCAGUGCACUGUACUGCAAUAAUAACUGGGUGAGACUUUGCUGUGACAUCUCUUUUAUAUGAGUCAUGAUUUAAAAAAGGGACAUCUCUUAUGUUAUUUGUUGCAAAUAAACACUGUAAACUAUUAGCGGAAUGUGUCAUAGCUUUUGAGCUGCUGAGAUAAUCCCUUGUUUAAUACAGAGUUUAAAUUUGUAUUGCUUAAUACUAACAUGACAUUGAUGUAUUUAUAACAGAUUUCAGUUUUAGCUAUCUUCAUUCCCUCACAAGGUGUGGUAGUAAAGACCCUUGAAGACCCGUCACAUGGUGGUGUAACUGGUGUUUCAGAAGACCUUUCACCAUGAAUUGCGACAUUCUUAAUGGAGGUGUGGCGUGUGCUGCACAGGUGGCUGAGUUCCCACUGGGAGGGGGAGCAGGGAGGAUGACUUUAUGUGAGACCCAGAUCUGACACCUGCACAACAGACACACGGUAAUGGAGAACACAGGUUUUAUUCCACAUCUGGGAUUGCAUGCCAACAGAACCACUGGUAUAUAAACACAGGAUAGGGAAGGCCAUGCAUGCAUGUACUGUAUACUGUCUGUGUUUACUUUGUAUUUGUCUAGACCACAUGUAUAGUUUUGUUCUGCAUUAUCAGUUGACUAAACAAUUGGGUUCAGAGAGUACAGAGACACACUGGAGAACAUAAACGGCUCCACAGAAUAUACCAAGAUAGUAAAGAAAUAUACUAAAACUGUCAACUUGGUAGUGUUUUUAUACAGUUGCAAAACACAACCAAGAGUCAGUUUUAGUCUGUGUAGAUCAUUCUGCCUUCCAUCUGUUUGGUUAAUUGAUUGUACCUGCUCUAUAAUCUCCAGCCCUGUGACCUUUAUCAGUAUUCUCUGAUAACAGCUUCCUUGUCUCUGCUCACACCUGUGGCUCUCAGAGGGAAUAACUGUUGAGUCAGGGGAGGGAGCCCGGGGUCUCCCUGGUCUUAUAAAAAAAACAAGGGAGUAUAAAUCAGCUCAACAUGAGCAUGUAGCAAAAAGCUUUUCUACCCUCUUUGAUUUCUUUUACAACCUCAUGUGUUGCGGUAUUCAGCAGCGGUACAACGGGCUGCGUUUUUGCCAGUAAUGAUUGAUUGAAAACACGCGCUGUGUUUAACUCUUCAGCCCUACCCUAUAUUUAUUAUUUAAACAGCGGUUCACAAUCUUAACUUAGGUACGGUUACUUGUUGAUUCGAAUACCUGUGCUCUAGACCAAUAAAGUGCCAUUGAUAGAACAUAAUAUCAUUCUUUGUUUUAGAAAAACUCCAUAGGCCCCUAAAGGCAUCCCUACAAAAUGCACAUGCUUGUAAACACUAUUUGUCUCCAAAUGAAUAAUCCUACGUUUGGUAUAACUGUGUCACCUUUGUACGUAGGAGCAAAAACAUCUGUGGUCUUGACUCAGAAAGCGUGAUCUACCCUCCACUUCCCUGCUUGGUUGAAGAAAGAGGAAGCCAUUAAUGGGCCAUCUGACGAUGUCCUUUUGCUUAAACAUUACCCUUGCACUCAACCCUUUUAUCUGUGUCUGAUUGAUGGGGCUUUGGGGGCCCUGAGUGCUCCUGCAGGUCCUGCGUCGCUUCCUAAUUGCUGCCUUUGCCCCAGCUUCAAGCUUCUCUAUCCCGAGGGAAACUUCACCAUUAAUUCUACAACUUCAUGGUAUAUCAAUCAGAGACUCCCGGGACGAGACCCAUGGGUGCAAAGCGGAGAGGAGACCUAAACUGAGAGGAAGCUCUUUCCUUUCGUGCUGUGAACUACAAACAAGAACUGUUGUGGGACCUGUGUGCCUGCAGUAUAUUUACCCUUACUAUUAAACAGUCUUGAUGAAAAAAGAGGAAUAUGAUGUUUCUCUCUACAGAUAUAACUCACUGAGGAGGAGGUGCAGAGUAGGUGUUACAAAAUAUCAUAACCUUGGCUUGGACACUUUUUUAUUUUUAAGUAGUGAAAAUACUGUUAAUUGUAAUAACUCAAGCAGUGGGUAAAACUUGGCCAGAACUGUAAGCAAUAGCUUGGUCAUAGUUUGUAUCCUGAUAUUUUGUGUUCCAUUUCAUUUGUCUCAUAGAUUGUUUAUUGUGUGUUUAUGAUUAUCUGAAAAUAUUUUCACAUGUGAAUGUCUAAUCAUUGCUGUUAUUUUAUUUUAAUUUUGGUCAUUUGUACAUUCAUUUUGAAGCUUCUGAUUUUUUCAUAAAAACAUGUGAUCACAUAACUUUAACUUUUGAUCAUUUUAGUUUAUUUUGCUCUAAAUACUGUACUUUUACUUAAGUAAAACAUGGAACAAAGAACUUGUAUUUGACUUUUUUAUAGUGUCCUUUUCUCUACUUUUACUCGGAUAAAGGUUCUAAGUAGUUCCUCAAAACAUCUGUUAUUUCAAGUAAAUGUGUAGAGAACAUGUAUAAAAUGAAAGCCAAGCAUUAUUAGGACCACUUGUUCUGACAACAGAGGCAAAUCAGCAAGGUCAGCACAGAAAUUGGAUCAUAUUAUGUCUUCCUUUUUCUAAAAAACGGACGUUUAGUGGUGAGUGUAUUUUUCGAGAAGUGCAUCAAAGUUACCAAAAAGGAAUUUUCCAGGAACCUGAGCGUCCUGUUCCCUGAAACCCCAUCUGAGAAAACCUGCGUACUUGGUGCUUCUUGUCAGCACUUCAGAAAACUUCUUCUUCCCAACAUCCAUCUCUCUCCUGCAGAAUUAUCCCAGGUGAAUAUGAACUUUCAAAGAAACCAUAGUGGAAUGCACUGUAAUGGUCUUUUCAUCAGAUGGAGCAGCAGCCUGUACUACCUGAAGCAACAGACAGGCUCCAUUUCCUCUAAUAAAAAUAUGUUACAGUG
Molecule: long non-coding RNA, 4086 nt
Organism: Eleginops maclovinus (Patagonian blennie)
Lineage: Eukaryota; Metazoa; Chordata; Actinopteri; Perciformes; Eleginopidae
Exons: 3
Source: RefSeq, a predicted model, not a curated record